RNAcentral lists this ribosomal RNA (367 nucleotides) under Anelosimus moramora. RNAcentral's name for it is "partial 16S ribosomal RNA". The record is from RNAcentral. Lineage: Eukaryota; Metazoa; Arthropoda; Arachnida; Araneae; Theridiidae.
UUUGUUUUUUAAUUAAAAACUAGAAUGAAAGAUUUAACAUUUUAAUUUCUUUAUUAAAUAUAAUAUGUAAAUUUAUAUUAAAUAUAAAAAUAUAUUUUUUAAAAAAAAAGACGACAAGACCCUAUUAAAUUUUACUUAUUGUUUAGCUGGGGCAGCUUUUUAAAUAAAAUUUUAAUUAUAUAUAUAUAUACAAUUAAAAAUCUAAUAUAAUUAAAAUAAUCUAAUUACUAUAGGGAUAACAGCGUUAUAUUUUUUUCAAGUUCAUAUUUAAAAAAAUUUUUGCGACCUCGAUGUUGAAUUAUAUUUCUUUAUUAAUGCAACAAUUAUAAAAGUAGGUCUGUUCGACCUUUAAUAUAUUACAUGAUCU